RNAcentral lists this ribosomal RNA (253 nucleotides) under uncultured bacterium. RNAcentral's name for it is "partial 16S ribosomal RNA". It matches the Rfam family "Bacterial small subunit ribosomal RNA", at positions 524 to 776 of the family's 1533-position model. The record is from RNAcentral.
UACGAAGGACCCAAGCGUUAUCCGGAUUUAUUGGGGUUAAAGGGUGCGUAGGCGGAUUAUUAAGUCAGUGGUGAAAGCCUGCAGCUUAACUGCAGAACUGCCAUUGAUACUGAUGAUCUUGAGUAUGAUUGAGGUGGGCGGAAUGUGUCAUGUAGCGGUGAAAUGCUUAGAUAUGACACAGAACACCGAUUGCGAAGGCAGCUCACUAAGCCAUAACUGACGCUGAUGCACGAAAGCGUGGGGAGCAAACAGG